GUUAAUUGUCUAGCUUCUCGCCGUUCGAUUACACCCGGAGUCGUUGGUGCGAUUGCUCGUUAGGCAUUAUCGAUCAACGCGCUGCCAUCGCACGGCUCAUUUUCUUCUUUAGAUCAAGUCGUUGGACGUUUCGACGGGAUUCGAUUUUUAAGAAACUCGCGUUUAAGCGUGAACAAAUAUUUGCUGAUCGAUCGAAUAUCGUUUUCGAGAUUUCCCAACAAAGAUCGUAUAUCGUUGGUGUGGUGUCAAUUUUACAAGAAUCGACAGCGAAUAGAAAUUUUUUCACCGUUAGCCUCGCGGUAAGGUAUAAAUUCUCCGCGCCUUUCUUUCGUUACACGCGUUUCCUGUCAAGUAGCGAAACAGAUACAACAGCGAGAUCGCAACCGCGUAGAAGAACGUAACGCCUUGAUCACGAGAGUUCGAGGAAUCCGUUCCAAGGUGGAUGGAGUACGAGUAACGAGAUCAAGGAAUGCACCGCUCUCUCGCACGACCAUCGAUAGCUGAUCACGAACGUUUCCGCGUUAUACCGAGAAAAUCGUGCCUCGGAAACUUUAUGAUUCGGUAGAUCGAUUUAUUAUACAUUAAAAGGCAAGUACCGUGUCAAUGAGAAAGUAAAACUUGGCAUCGCGCUAAAGAAGAAAUCGAAACACCGUUAACAUCGGCAAUGUCGAUCUGCGAUGAAUAUGUAUAUAAAGAGCAGCCCUCUGGGGAUGUGAUAUUUUUCGGGCUGAUGCGAAACUACCGAGAGCUACAGAGUCAUUACCGUAAUUAAUUACGUCAUCGAUCAAUCACGGUGACAUUAAAAACAACGCACAACAGCGACGAUUAAGAGUGAUCGAUACCGAGCCCAUCGUCAUUAAACUAAUCUUUAAUGAACACGCGGACGAGAGGCGUUCCAACGAAACGAGAAAUUCUCGCGUCUUCGCUGUCUGCCAGUCCCUGUACUUUCGAGCGCGUCAACGCGAAAAAGGAAGAAGAAAGUUGACGUUCCCUCGAGCAACGGAACUUGAUUUCUUGAUAAAAGGCAUGCGAGAGUUCGUAUUCCUCGGGGUGGUUUCUAGAAGGUGGAUGCAACCAUUCAAGCUGUAUAGAAUAGCUUGCACAAGGAGGAGAGUAAACCGGGGGAAAGAGUGGACGGAAAAAUCGAUAGCGAACGAAGGAAAGGAAAGGAAAGGAAAGGAAAGGAAGAAGGAGAAGAGGGAGGAGCGAGGAUCUCGAUGAUGAUAAAUGCUUCCUGCGGAGAAACGUGAUUUAUGCCGUCAUUAGAAUAGUUGCCACGAACCUCUCGUGUAGGUGGUGCAUAAUGAUCGCUACCACGGACCACUAUGUACAUGCAAACGCUCUCCAUGGCUAUCCGAGAAGUUGACUUUUACAAAAAAGGCUCCCGUUGCUCGAUGAUUGCGACGCCCAUAAACACAGUUCGCGACGGUACAUUGGUUACUUACUAUCCCCGUAUCCGCGUGUUCGAGGCCUACUGCGUGUUUCGAAUCUUCCAGCGACUAACCACUCCGGGGGACGUUUCGUUCGAGUUUUCGAGGAUGAUCGUUCGAUCGAGCCUCUUUCCAAACCCUCCACCGCACCGAGCCAAUUCCGCUCUCGUCGAUCGAUCUUAGAACUUUGGAAUUGCCCGUAGAUCCUAUGCAAAUCCUCGAAUACUCUUAGCAAGAUUUUCAUCGCGAUUUUUACCGUUUUAAACGUUUCGAAGGUCUGAUCGGAAUCUACGGAAUCCACGAAAUAUGGUAUGCGUAGCGAAGCUUCUCACGAUUCUCAGAGUCUCGGGAGAAAGCGAGUGGAUGGUAGCGCACGGUACGGCUAACCUUUCAUCAACGUUUUUUCCCACUGGUGGAGAUGAGUUGGGCGAUCGAUUAAAAGCUUAAUUACCGAAUGUAAUAAGGACCACCCAUCGUUCAUUUAGAUCCAUCAAAAUAGAUACGCAUUAAUUGGACGAGGGGCAGCUCUCCUCUGAUUACCUACUACCGAUAAUUAUAUGUUAACCACGUAUUCAGAUCCGGCUCGGCACGUACUCUAGAGAACCUGUUCCCCUACAGCGGCGAACAUUGAAUCAAAUUGCGUACGCGUGCAAGUGUGUAUACCAACUGUAUUCACGCCUCCUAACCUUUCGCUGGUGGCUAGAUCUACGCGUAAAUAAUUAAUUGCGGUUGGUCCCUACUAGAUCGAAGCCAUUGCAGCCACCGAUCGUUGGCUUUCGUUUCUCUUACCACUGUCCAUCGUAAUUCUAUUUCUUUCCUUCGCUAUGGAUUCGACAGUGGUUCGCGCUUCGGAGUAUACGAUAUACCGAUCGUUUCGCGAGAAACUUGUAACUUAUUCUCCGAAAUUCUGUUGGCUUCGGUAACUCUCGCUAGAUCGUGCUACGACGUUAAAAAAAAAUUGCUCGUUCGUUCUAACCUGGCUUGAUAUUAUGUCUGUUAGAUUAGGUAAGAUCGAGUAAAUCGAGACACGUUUCGAUCGAGUAUCGUUAGCCUGUACUCGAAACAUUCUUGUUUACCACUAAUUACAUAUAUGGUAGGGACAAAAAGAAUACAGUAAAAUGGUUCAAUUCUCGAAAAAACCGGUAUCGGGAUGAGAAAAUUAGACCGAGACGCUGAAAUCGAUCGGUACGCGUAAACUUUUGAAAGGCAAAUCGCUACUCUUUAUCCCUUCCUAUGGUUAUUUCCGAUUUUUCCAUAUACACGCCACGUUAUACGCGCCAAAUUACAAAUUCUGAUCGGAAUAUAAUCUUUCACUGCCGUCCUUCGCGUUAAGUAGAGCAGAGGGUUCUAUAAAUGGAUAUAGAUAAUUUAACCGACAAAGAAAACACGCGAAACGAUAGACAUUCCAAAAAGUUCGAAUACACGUUCGAAUUAAAAAAUCAAUCGAUGAAUGACUUGAUAUACACCCUGAAAUCGAUAGCUCGAAUAUAAAAAGAUAUCUUGCUUUUUUAUAACGUAUCACCAUCACCAGGGUUUCGUUCGGCUAAAAAUUCUAAGAAACUAAAUCAACGCGUGAUUCUCAAGCCCAUUUAGUUGCUCGACGUCUCUCAUUACCGCGAGACAGACCCAUAAAUAAUAAUCGAAGCGGUUUAUUAGAGGCUUAUAAGCAGCUUAUAAGCAGUUUAUAAGCGCGACGCGUCAUCUCUUCUUUUUCCGCGAUUCUUCUCUUUCAAUUGGUAGCUCGACAGCCACAAUAACAACCUAUAACGGGAUGCUGCUUCUAGCUCCGGGAUAACCGUUGAAUAUUUCUUCCACGAGAUAUUUCUUCUUUUUACAUCAACGAUAUUUGCGAAAUAAGUAGAUUCCUCAAAGCGAUUGCGUUCUACGUUCGCUUCGCUUAAACGUAUUCAACCGAGUUAACCUAAUUUCCGUUAAUACUCUUUGAUCUGGAAAAAAUUUAGAUUUUGUCAGGAGGUUAAAGACUCGGGAACAGGUAUCGAUAAACUUGACGUUUCGCGAGAGCAAGGAAGACGCAAAUUCGAGUACGCGGCAUUUUCGACGACACGGCGGUUUUCUGGCAAAUCGAAGAUUCGCAUCGUCGACGACGAUCCCUGUCUUUUCGCGAACAGUUCUUUCGACGUUAACGACGCAAUCACGUCUUAUGGGUAUAUAAACGCGAUUUGUUAAAGCAGGAGGCGUACCUCACGCGAGAAGAUGCAUGUCCAUGGCGCAUUUUGCAGCCGGCGUGACCGAGCCUAUCGUACCUCGCGAUCAUUCCUGGAAAUUUAAUAGACGCGUUCCGCCGUUUCUUGAUUCUUCCACGACGAUAUCCGCUAGCGACGAGAACUUCGUGCAAUUCGAGAUAACGAACAAAGAAACCACGCUUUUCGGUAGCGUCCAAACGAUACCAACAAACCAUCCGGUUUCUCUUGUUCUCCUAUUCUCGUCAGCGACGAAUCGCGGUUCCUAUUUCUUCGCAAAGAAAACCAUGGCAAGAUUCGUCGAUCUGAACGAUAGUGCUAGUGUUAGGCCUUGCUGUGCUCGUUAGAGAUAGGUAGACCGAUAUUUGGAAUUUGUUAACGUUUCACGAACAUAGAGCAAGCAGAUAGUUGGAAGUAUUAUGUGUGGUCUUUGGAAUAACGCGAACAUAUUUCGCUUCGCGUAUAGCAGCAGUGAAUCGAUCGUAAAAAUUCUGCGAGAUAAAAAUGUUGAUUAAACACGGUACAACUUCUUUCUUAUAAAGAAAAAUUCACUGUUUCGAGUGGUUCGGAGCGAUCGAUCUUUCGUCGUUCGAUUCAACAAAUAGGAUUUAUCGAAACAAAUGUAAGCGACCUAAUCGACUGCCAUUUCACAUUUGGUGGCCUCUCAGAGAGAUUUGGCCAGGACAUUGUUCGAAGAAGGUUCCACCGGUUCGAUCCUAAUAUCAUCGAGCUAUCCAAUAAACGUAAUGCCGGGCUUUGAAAUGUCCCGUGCCCGUAAGCCACUCAAGAUAACAAAGGGAUCACGGUACAGCAUCUUGCGGGGACAGCAGCAAAAGGGUGGAUCGGCGUGUCAAAUUCAAUUCUAACUCACGUUAAGCGGUCGCUAUCGAGGGCGUACCGGCGAAUUAACCCACCAGAUAAUACCAUUACCGUGGAAGCCUGAAAUUACUGAACAUUACGUAUCGAUGCCAAUUACACUUGGUCGGUUGGUGUGUGCGCGUAACUGCGGACGCGUAACUGCAGACGCGCCAACCCGAAACGAUUACUUCAUUUACAUGUCGCGUAAAUACGCGUGGUUCUGCCACGUGGUCAGAUCGGCUCCUCGUCGAUUACGAACCAUCGAUUCCACCGAAAAUUACUUCCCAGAAGGGCAUACACGAGAAUCGACCAACGGAUUUGUUGGCCUGAAGCUUGUUAUCGGCCGUUAAAUGCCACGACGUAUUAAUAUCGCGCGCUAUGCGCUGUUACGCCGUGCUAUCGUAAUUUUAUGACUGCGCUGGUUUCUACAAUCUCUAUCGGAACUUGCCAACUCGAACUACCAUAUUUUCUAUUUCGAUCCUUGUAACGACCGUCGCCGUCGAAAUAAUAUUUUUUAACAGGUCGCUAUACAUGCACGACGUUCGUGAAGCUAACGCGCCUCCAUAGUCCGCUCGAGACUUUGAAUCGGUUAGUUUCGACGAAGAGAAUGUCGCGAUACAGUCGGAGAAAGAUGAAGUACCGCCAUUAGCGACAUUUGUACUUGUACGUCUUAAUUUUGAACGCGGAGUCUUUUAAAAAUUGAGUUCGUGCUUUAUGUUCAAUGGCAUAGAGAACGGCUGCAACAGCCUAAUAUUUCAACGCGAAUUCAUCUGGAGAAACUGCGUAGAGGCGAACAAUUUUUCCGUUUCUAAAGAUGCAAUAAAUAUCUGGUAUAGCGAAACAGUUUAUUUGCACGGCUGAACGUCUAACGGGAAUAAUUUAUAUCCAUACUUUACCUGCGAGAUAUCAAUCCUUCUAACACAAUAAGCUUUUAUACACUUUAUUAAACCGAGAAUUUAUAACUCGGAGAACUCGUUGCAUGGACAUUGAUUUGUUGUAACUUUAACUUUACCUAUUCGUUGUACCACGUUUAUUAUUUGCGACGAAUAAUUAAAAGUUCACGAGUUCA
Molecule: long non-coding RNA, 5558 nt
Organism: Bombus terrestris (buff-tailed bumblebee)
Lineage: Eukaryota; Metazoa; Arthropoda; Insecta; Hymenoptera; Apidae
Exons: 3
Source: RefSeq, a predicted model, not a curated record